AGGACGAACGCUGGCGGCGUGCUUAACACAUGCAAGUCGAGCGGAAAGGCCCUUCGGAGUACUCGAGCGGCGAACGGGUGAGUAACACGUGAGCAACCUGCCCUUAGCUCUGGGAUAGCUCCGGGAAACCGGAAUUAAUACCGGAUAUGACCUAGGCCGACAUCGGCCGUGGUGGAAAGUUUUUCGGCUAGGGAUGGACUCGCGGCCUAUCAGCUAGUUGGUGGGGUAAUGGCCUACCAAGGCGACGACGGGUAGCCGGCCUGAGAGGGCGACCGGCCACACUGGGACUGAGACACGGCCCAGACUCCUACGGGAGGCAGCAGUGGGGAAUCUUGCGCAAUGGGCGAAAGCCUGACGCAGCGACGCCGCGUGGGGGAUGAAGGCCUUCGGGUUGUAAACCCCUUUCAGCAGGGACGAAGCGAAAGUGACGGUACCUGCAGAAGAAGCGCCGGCUAACUACGCGCCAGCAGCCGC
RNAcentral lists this ribosomal RNA (474 nucleotides) under uncultured bacterium. Its description in RNAcentral is "SSU rRNA". It matches the Rfam family "Bacterial small subunit ribosomal RNA", at positions 26 to 518 of the family's 1533-position model. The record is from RNAcentral.